UUUCCGUAGGUGAACCUGCGGAAGGAUCAUUAAUGAAUUCUGAGUAGGCUCUGCCUCUCACCCUUCAUAUCCAUAAACACCUGUGCACAGUCGGACCCUUGAGUCUUUCGGGACUCCUGGUGUCUUGACAAUCUUAUCAAACAUCAAUGUAACCAAUGUAAUCAUUAUUAUAACAUAAUAGAACUUUUAACAACGGAUCUCUUGGCUCUC
RNAcentral lists this unclassified non-coding RNA (210 nucleotides) under plant metagenome. RNAcentral describes it as "partial contains small subunit ribosomal RNA, internal transcribed spacer 1, and 5.8S ribosomal RNA". The record is from RNAcentral.